RNAcentral lists this non-coding RNA (208 nucleotides) under Drosophila persimilis. Its description in RNAcentral is "Eukaryotic large subunit ribosomal RNA". It matches the Rfam family "Eukaryotic large subunit ribosomal RNA", at positions 966 to 1170 of the family's 3401-position model. Lineage: Eukaryota; Metazoa; Arthropoda; Insecta; Diptera; Drosophilidae. The record is from Rfam by way of RNAcentral.
UGUGGGGAUCCAUACAUUUGGCAUUACCAAAUAAUCUUAUCUGGUAAAGCGAAUGAUUAGAGGCCUUAGGGUCGAAACGAUCUUAACCUAUUCUCAAACUUUAAAUGGGUAAGAACCUUAACUUUCUUGAUAUGAAGUUUAAGGUUAUGAUAUAAUGUGCCCAGUGGGCCACUUUUGGUAAGCAGAACUGGCGCUGUGGGAUGAACCA